UGAGGGAUAUUGCACAAUGGGGGGAACCCUGAUGCAGCGACGCCGCGUGGGUGAUGAAGGCCUUCGGGUCGUAAAGCCCUUUUCCCGCUGACGAGAGAGGACGGUAGGCGGGGAAGAAGUCUCGGCUAACUACGUGCCAGCAGCCGCGGUAAAACGUAGGAGGCAAGCGUUAUCCGGAGUUACUGGGCGUAAAGCGCAUGUAGGCGGCGCGACAAGUGGUGGGUGAAAGCUCCCGGCUCCACCGGGAGAGGACCGAUCAGACUGUCGGGCUGGAGCACGGUAGAGGGGCAUAGAAUUCCGGGUGUAGCGGUGAAAUGUGUAGAGAUCCGGAGGAAUACCAGAGGCGAAGGCGAUGCCCUGGGCCGCUGCUGACGCUGAGAUGCGAAAGCGUGGGGAGCGAACGGG
RNAcentral lists this ribosomal RNA (405 nucleotides) under uncultured bacterium. RNAcentral describes it as "bacterial SSU rRNA". It matches the Rfam family "Bacterial small subunit ribosomal RNA", at positions 355 to 776 of the family's 1533-position model. The record is from RNAcentral.